Molecule: small RNA, 28 nt
Filed under: Bombyx mori (domestic silkworm)
Lineage: Eukaryota; Metazoa; Arthropoda; Insecta; Lepidoptera; Bombycidae
Description: ovarian small RNA-7705
Source: RNAcentral
UCUCAAACUUACUGAUGGUUGAGCGAAC